RNAcentral lists this ribosomal RNA (553 nucleotides) under uncultured bacterium. RNAcentral describes it as "bacterial SSU rRNA". It matches the Rfam family "Bacterial small subunit ribosomal RNA", at positions 353 to 936 of the family's 1533-position model. The record is from RNAcentral.
AGAGGUGAAUCGCAUCGUGAUGCACACGCCGCGUGAGUGAUGAAUGCCUCUGGGCUGUAAACCUCUUUCCGCAAGGAAGAAAAACUGACGGUACUUGAGGAAUAAGCCACGGCUAAUUCCGUGCCAGCAGCCGCGGUAAUACGGGAGUGGCAAGCGUUAUCCGGAAUUAUUGGGCGUAAAGCGUCCGCAGGCGGCCCUGUAAGUCUGCUGUCAAAGCGUGGAGCUUAACUCCAUUUCGGCAGUGGAAACUACAGGGCUUGAGUGUGGUAGGGGCAGAGGGAAUUCCCGGUGUAGCGGUGAAAUGCGUAGAUAUCGGGAAGAACACCAGUGGCGAAGGCGCUCUGCUGGGCCAUAACUGACGCUCAUGGACGAAAGCCAGGGGAGCGAAAGGGAUUAGAUACCCCUGUAGUCCUGGCCGUAAACGAUGAACACUAGGUGUCGGGGGAAUCGACCCCCUCGGUGUCGUAGCCAACGCGUUAAGUGUUCCGCCUGGGGAGUACGCACGCAAGUGUGAAACUCAAAGGAAUUGACGGAAAAUUGAAGGAUUUCCGGC